GAGGAUGAGAUUGAGAGAGAGGAUUAAAGGGGGAGGAUGCGAGGGAGGAGUAACAAAAGUGAAAACAAUUUCAAAUUGAUUUCAAUUUUUAGUUUUUGUUUUCACUUUUGUUACUCAUUCCUCCCAUCCCCUCUCUCAUUUUCCCUCUCAAUCCCAUCUUCA
Molecule: microRNA precursor, 162 nt
Filed under: Prunus dulcis (almond)
Lineage: Eukaryota; Viridiplantae; Streptophyta; Magnoliopsida; Rosales; Rosaceae
Description: sRNA ncRNA
Source: RNAcentral